RNAcentral lists this vault RNA (102 nucleotides) under Carlito syrichta (Philippine tarsier). Its description in RNAcentral is "Vault RNA (ENSTSYG00000024260.2)". It matches the Rfam family "Vault RNA". From Rfam's summary of the family: This family of RNAs are found as part of the enigmatic vault ribonucleoprotein complex. The complex consists of a major vault protein (MVP), two minor vault proteins (VPARP and TEP1), and several small untranslated RNA molecules. The record is from Rfam by way of RNAcentral. Lineage: Eukaryota; Metazoa; Chordata; Mammalia; Primates; Tarsiidae.
AGGUCAACUUUAGCACAAACAGCUACUUCCUCAUGUUGAACUUUCCAUUUGUCUAAUUCCUGCACUGGGAUCUGAGACCAGUGAGUCCUUUUUGACUCCUUA